CUUCACAAAGGGGGUCACACAGGCAGGAGCACACUAACCUCAUCUUGUGUUAGUGCUCGGGGAUAAAAGAACAGUGUUUCUGCCAUCAAAUGGUGCAGUUGCUCUCUCCGAACCGCCGGCACUUCAUCAGUUUCAGUCCCAGUGGAAAAAUCUUUAGCUGUUGUUACCAGGCUCCUGCUGCUUCUGACUGAAAAGCUUUGUGCACCAGCUAGAGCUUUUUUAGUUUUUUCGACCAAGAACACAGAAAUCACCAGGCUGGAUCAGACCUGAGGCCCCUCUAGUUCAGUAUCCUGGCUCUAACACUGCCCAGCACCAGCUGCUUCAGAGGAAGGUGCAAAGAACCUGCAUUAGCAGGGAAGCCAGCAUGGAGAGUGGCGGACUGGUCGUACGUAGCCUGUGUGGCUGAGAGGAGGCGUUGCAGUGUGUGGUGCUAGUUGGAGUUCUCUGCAUGUGGAAGUCUCCAUGCCCAGGUAUAUGACAUUGUUGUUGUCCAGCCAAGAGGUGACGAAGACAUGAGUAACUGAGGCCAGGUCUUCAUCUGCCAGGGCGGGAUGGAGUCUCCCAGCCAGCCGGACUCGCAUUGUUCUUCAGGAGGCAAUGUGAAUUGAGGGCAAAACCAGCCAGUGAGCUUCCUUUUUCCCAAAGCAAUUCUGAGAGUCCAGCACAAGACAUGUUAUCAGGAAUACAGAGUGUUGGGGGCAUAACAGCAGGGGGGUCUGCCCAGGUUUCCUGGUAUUUCCUCAAUGGGAAAAAAGAACUAGUUCAGAAGCAAUUUCCAGUCUUCUAUCCAUGAGUAUGAAAUUUCACUGAGUCUAAACAGAGGGCUAAUGAGGGAGAGAAGGUGGCUGGUCAAAGUAGCUGCUAGGCCUCAUUUCAGAGAGUGUGGGGAGGGGAAUCUACAUGUGCUUCUGCUAUUCAGGUGAAGCUGGGGGAGCAGUGGAGAGGUGGGGGGUGUUAGAAGGUCUGCAUGGCAGUCACCACCUCUUGCCACCCUUCUCUUGGUCUCUCCUGCAGGCCCCCUGCCCCUGUCUUCACUGCUUCUGGCCAUUGAACUGGGGCCCUUCUCAUGGCACUCCUAUGCAAUGUCCUGGGCCCACCAGACACUGCUGACGAAAGCACUGGGGGCCAUCUGGUUUGGUCUGCACCCCUACAUGUGAUCCAACUCUCCUUUGGGCUCAUCAUCCAAGGCGAGCAGCCCCCUAGGUGCUGGAUCCAGGGAUGCAAGGUUUGACGUAGGCUUGUUAAUAAAAACACUGUUGGGAGGACGAGCAUGGUGUGUUCCUGGAAGCCACUCGGUGUUUGUAUCCUGUAGGCGCAACAACGUCAGAGAGUAAAUGUCAGGUCCCCGGGCAGGGAGAGCACUGGAUCUUGCUGCUACUGCGUAUCUGGUAACUCAGGAGCCAGCAGCAUCUGGGGGUGUUUUUCUCCUGCCACUCCAGAGUGUGUUUGAAGAUGUCAGGCUGUGUCAGGUGCAUGUAGGACAGGAGGUGCCCUGCCCAGCAGUUAGGGACUGGGUAAGACUCAACUCCUGGGGAGAUGGAAUCCUCUGGGAAGUCCAGCCAGCAUAACUGUGUGCGUAUGGCACUUCACGCAGUGGGGGUCACUCAGCAGCAGUGUACUGAAAACACACCACCAAGGCAGCGACCUGCCUUACAAGGACAUUCUGUAGGUUGCUAAGUCAAGCACUUGGAAGUGCCAGAUUGAUGCAACCAUCAUUCUUUCCCCUUGUGCGUGCGUCCGGCUAUUAAUGAGGCAGGGGUGCAGUGGGAAACCUGUGUGGGAUUGUGUAAUCAUAGACUGUACCAGAUGUGUGCGCCCAAAGGGCAGAACAAGGGCUGUACAAGCAACCAGAAGCUGUACAGCUGGCAUUUCCAAACUUGUGAGCACCCGAAAUAACUGUCUUGUAACGUUGAUUUACUGCAGGCAACAUCCUAGGGGGUUUUUUACAAAGAAAAACCAGAUUCUGUUAUGCACAGUGGUGAUGAGCCCUUCACUGUGCAUCAUCAGCAGAGUUUUAACUGAGCCAUCAGCAUUUCAGCACAGAUUGCUCACACUGGGGCUACAGGAUUACAUUAUCUGGGGCCAGGCAAGGGGUUAUUCUAGGGGGAAUGGACUGCUGGGCCCAGGUGCUGGAUCUAAAGAUGGUUGAUUGGUUGGGGGUGGGGGGGAGCUGGCUCACUGUGCUCUCUGUCUCCCCCGACUUCCAGAACUGGGGGAACUCCAGACCCAAGAGGGUGGGAAUGGGCCACUGGGGCCAAGGGCUCAGUCCUGGGGGAGGUUUCCAGUCCUGCUCUCUCUCCAUCCUCAGCACUGCAGCUAGUCUGGCAGCUCCCAGGUGUGCCCAGCCCAGCGCAUGUUGCUGCUGCUGCUGCUUUGGGGGAGGCAGGAGCCCAGCCCUCUUGAAUGUAUGUGGGUUUAGUUCUUAGUUUUGCGGUGUGCCAGAAAUUUCCUGAGAAAUGGUUGUUUUCCAGUUUAUAUCUCAGACAUAGCAGAACAGGAUUUUAUGAAACAGAGAAGAGACACUUCACUAGCCCAAGGCUGUUCCCCGGCUGAGUAUCAAAGACUUGCUGCAAACAACGAAGGUGGGAGAGCUUUUCAAAGGAGAGGCGACAAGAACCCUUUCUAAUGGAAAGUAAUCGGCAACUCAAGUAUAGGGACUGCUGCCAGAUCCUCCUGGCAUUGCUGCGAGCUCUUGCAGUUUGCAUGAGUCUCAUGCUGUUCGGUGUUUUUCUUAAAGCUGCAGGUCCAGGAAUGAUGUAAGCACAUGAGAAUCUCAUUGAAACCCCCUUCCAGAUCCCAAGAAAAGAUUGAAAACAUGGCCCCUAAGAGCUCCAUAAUCAAGGCGAAGACUGGGAACCCCACAUUCGUUGCUUGUUAAAAAUCUCAUGAUUUGUAAGCCAUCCUCAGGGUUUUUGAAUGCGUGGAGUUAGUGACCCUGAGGCAGGUUCUGUGCCACCCGCUCCCCAAGCUCCGGAUAGGGUGUGUCUGGGAUGGGGAUGGGAGAGAUGCCUUAACUGCUCCUGGGUUGCUUUGGCCUCCUGCUGGCCCAGGUUGCGGGGGGGGGGGGGGGAAGCAGGCAGGUGGCUGCUCCUUGUCUCUUCCCCCAGCUAUGCUGCACUGCACACACAGGAUGUGCUGCACACACAGGAUGUGCUGCAGUUUCUCUCUGUUUCCUGCCUGCGGAAGGGACAGAGUUAGCCCUGCUCUGUGAAACAACAGGAAAGAAAUGGUUUGGGUUCAGUGAGUCGCAGAAAACGAGCCCAGCCCGUGAAGCAACUGUCAGUGCAAAAUCCCUCUUGCAUCCUUCCGACCUGCCCCCAACACUCUAGCACGCUGGUGGGUGGGGGCGCAGUAUAUUUGUGUGACAGCAGCGACUAGAGGCUCCUCCCGGGAACAGGGCCCGCUGGGCAGGGUGCAGUGUACACACAGGAAGAGUCAGCCCUGCCUCAGGUUGCUUCCAGUUAGCAGGUGGGGAGUGGGCAGUGAGAUCUUUGCAGUAAGGGAGAAUGGCAAAGGCCAUCUCGGGGCCAUGUAUGCUCACUGCAAGGGCAGGUCUGUGCUGCAAAGAGAGCUGCUGUGUAUUUAACUUGGGUUAGCUGGCCCAGGUUACAAUAGAAGUGAAGACCCGGCAACUUGGCUUUUAACACAGGUUAGCAGCUCAAGCCAAAGCCUGUGGGGCAGUCUGGUGCUGAAUUUGAGCCAGAAGUGAGUUGCCGUGCCUCGCUGCUGUUCUACCCCAAAUUAGCUAAUCCCAGGUAACAUCUUUUGAGGCUGCCGGAGAGGUGUGAAAGGGCCUGCACGUUAAUGAGCGUCUGGCGCCACCAGUCUGAAGGAAAGACUGAAGGAAACCCAUGGAGGUGAGAAAGGGUUGGGCUGGGUGAGUACUGUCAGAUUCGCGCCAGCUCCCAAUGGAUGCUCCUAUCUCAGGUGAAGAGCACCUCAGUUCAGCGUAGCUUUCCCAGUGAAACCAGUGGCUCCAGGAUGCCCGCAAUGUGAAGUGAGCAAAGUGUUCACACCAGCCUUGUUGAGUCCAGUUCUAAAAUGACUGAGUUGAACUGAAAAAAAGAAAAGGAGUACU
This is a long non-coding RNA of Dermochelys coriacea (leatherback sea turtle), 4078 nucleotides long. RefSeq lists it as uncharacterized. The record is from RefSeq and is a predicted model, not a curated record. The transcript has 4 exons. Lineage: Eukaryota; Metazoa; Chordata; Testudines; Dermochelyidae.